RNAcentral lists this ribosomal RNA (253 nucleotides) under uncultured bacterium. Its description in RNAcentral is "partial 16S ribosomal RNA". It matches the Rfam family "Bacterial small subunit ribosomal RNA", at positions 524 to 776 of the family's 1533-position model. The record is from RNAcentral.
UACGUAGGGGGCUAGCGUUGUCCGGAAUCAUUGGGCGUAAAGCGCGUGUAGGCGGCCCGAUAAGUCCGCUGUGAAAGUCCAGGGCUCAACCCUGGGAUGCCGGUGGAUACUGUCGGGCUCGAGUCCGGAAGAGGCGAGUGGAAUUCCUGGUGUAGCGGUGAAAUGCGUAGAUAUCUGGAGGAACACCGGUGGCGAAGGCGGCAUCCUGGACCGGCAUUGACGCUGAGGCGCGAAAGCUAGGGGAGCAAACGGG